Molecule: long non-coding RNA, 1331 nt
Organism: Aethalodelphis obliquidens (Pacific white-sided dolphin)
Lineage: Eukaryota; Metazoa; Chordata; Mammalia; Artiodactyla; Delphinidae
Exons: 4
Source: RefSeq, a predicted model, not a curated record
CAGAUGGGGGAGACCUCACGGGUGGAAAUCGAUGCUCGUGGACAGUUGCCUGCUCUCUGGGUCAGGUGGUGAAUGCGUCAGUCAGGCAGGGGCGCAGCAGGCCAGGGAGGGACUCCAGGGAGGGGUUCCUGGGGCUGUCUUCCUCCGUGCUCUCUUUUCUCUUCUGGAUGUCUUUAUCUGCGGGCGGCGGCAUGUUUGCUGGAAACAAAAGAGCGGCAGCUAGAAGCGCCUUUCAAGUUUGGAACUGAAAGGAUCUGAAGUUGGUGGAGGGAGAGGAUCAGGUGGGGUGAGAUGUCCUGCAUCAGGUGAGGACGUUUCCUGCUAUUCCUGGCUUGCUGAAACUUUGUCUUAUGCAUGGAUAUUGAGAAUGCCUUCAGUUGAGAGGAUGCUCAAGAAGACAAGAUUCUGACAUGCAGGAACUACAAGGGCUCUUGUCCUCCACGCUGACCUACCCUUGGCUUGUACGACGAGAAAACUGAGGUCGAGAGAGUCACCCAGAAGCAGAGCAGAGACUGGAAUCCAAGCUCCGGAUUUUUAGUGAAAAAGACCCCUUUUCCUUCCAGAGGAAACAUUCCAUCAUUUGAAAACUAAAUGCUGAUUGUUUGCGCGUUACUUUGCCUUGUUCAAGUGUGGAGAGAAGAAUUGGUUUCUUUCAAAGUUUAGUGGUGGUCUUGUUUAUAGGGGAAUGCUGGACAGCCGAAAGAUUUUACCAAGAAAUCGCUGGGUUUCCUAACAAUCCCUUGGUGUACAAUAUUACCGAGGCCCUCUCCUCAUCCAGCCCGUGUGUGUUUUUCCUUCCCUCUUGAAAUUGUCAAACUGACAUAAUUAACUAAUCUGUUAGCUAAAUAAAUCGCUGGAUCCCAGCAAGAAUUUUUACUGAGGCAUCAUUGCCCCGCACCGCGCUGCGUGAAGGACUGUCGACACCGCGUUGAUAGAUGUAUGGCAAAGGAUUCUGUUUGAGAGACAGCUCUCUCCUUCUCCCUGAGCAUCGAACAUGGCUGGCAGGCUACAGAACAGAUGUCAUGGAGCGUAUGUGAGAAAUCCACCAAUUCCUUAGAGUAUUUUGAUCCCACAAGGUUCACGGAGCCUGAAGGCACGUGGGAUGCAGACUGAUAGCCCAGGGGUGGACUCCAGUCCUGGUGGGCCUCAAGCAGAAGCUGCGGUUACUCUGCAGUUGUUUUUCUGUAGAGAACUGUGCUCUGACACAGGGGAUGCCCUUACUAACCUCCAGAAGUCUCUGACAUCCCCUGAGGUAGAUGAACACACUGUUAUUGCUUUACUUUUAUUUUUAGGAAUAUUCAUUUGUUAGCUCUUUAAGAGCAGGGCCCACU